Molecule: ribosomal RNA, 381 nt
Filed under: uncultured eukaryote
Lineage: Eukaryota
Description: partial 18S ribosomal RNA
Rfam family: Eukaryotic small subunit ribosomal RNA
Source: RNAcentral
CAAUAGCGUAUAUUAAAGCUGUUGCGGUUAAAAAGCUCGUAGUUGGAUUUCUGUCAAGGACAACUGGUCCGCCCUCCGGGUGAGCACAUAGUUUGGUCUUGGCAUCUUGCUGGAAACUGUUGCUGCACUUGGCUGUGUGGCGCAGUGUCCAGCACUUUCACUUUGAGGAAAUUGGAGUGUUUCAAGCAGGCACAUGCCUUUGGACACAGUAGCAUGGAAUAAUUAGAUUGGGCUUUUGCUCCAAUUUGUCGGUUUCUGGAGCUGAGGUGAGAAUUAAUGGGGAUUGUUGGGGGCAUCCGAAUUUAGCUGUCAGAGGUGAAAUUCUUGGAUCUGCUAAAGACGGACAACUGCGAAAGCGUUUGCCCAGGAUGUUUNCAUUGA